AACGAACGCUGGCGGCAUGCCUAACACAUGCAAGUCGAACGAGACCUUCGGGUCUAGUGUCGCCCGGCUGCGUAACGCGUGGGAACCUUCCCUUAGGUUCUGCCUAACUCCCCGACAGGGGUGCUAAUACCGGAUAAUGUCUUCUGCCCAAUGAUUUAUCGCCUUUGGAUGGGCCCGCGUUGGAUUAGCUAGUUGGUAGGGUAAAAGCCUACUACGGCGACGAUCCAUAACUGGUCUGAGAGGAUGAUCAGCCACACUGGGACUGAGACACGGCCCAGAAUCAUACGGGAGGGAGCAGUGGGGAAUAGUGGACAAUGGGAGAAAGCAUGAUCCAGCAAGGCCGGGUGAGUGAUGAAGGUCGUAGGGUUGUAAAGCUCUAGUAACCGGGAAGAUAAUGACAGUACCGGGAGAAUAAGCCACGGCUAACUACGUG
RNAcentral lists this ribosomal RNA (433 nucleotides) under uncultured bacterium. Its description in RNAcentral is "partial 16S ribosomal RNA". It matches the Rfam family "Bacterial small subunit ribosomal RNA", at positions 29 to 507 of the family's 1533-position model. The record is from RNAcentral.